GGUAAUGGCUUACCAAGGCGACGAUCUCUAGCUGUUCUGAGAGGAAGAUCAGCCACACUGGGACUGAGACACGGCCCAGACUCCUACGGGAGGCAGCAGUGGGGAAUAUUGCACAAUGGGGGGAAACCCUGAUGCANCCAUGCCGCGUGUGUGA
This 154-nucleotide ribosomal RNA is filed under the name uncultured bacterium. Its description in RNAcentral is "partial 16S ribosomal RNA". It matches the Rfam family "Bacterial small subunit ribosomal RNA", at positions 256 to 408 of the family's 1533-position model. The record is from RNAcentral.